UGACCUCAAAUCAGGUAGGAUUACCCGCUGAACUUAAGCAUAUCAAUAAGCGGAGGAAAAGAAACUAACAAGGNUUCCAAG
RNAcentral lists this ribosomal RNA (81 nucleotides) under Phellinus igniarius. RNAcentral's name for it is "partial 28S ribosomal RNA". It matches the Rfam family "Eukaryotic large subunit ribosomal RNA", at positions 1 to 81 of the family's 3401-position model. Lineage: Eukaryota; Fungi; Basidiomycota; Agaricomycetes; Hymenochaetales; Hymenochaetaceae. The record is from RNAcentral.